UACAGAGGGGGCAAGCGUUGUUCGGAAUUACUGGGCGUAAAGGGCGCGUAGGCGGCCUUCUAAGUCGAACGUGAAAUCCCCGGGCUCAACCCGGGAACUGCGUCCGAUACUGGAAGGCUUGAAUCCGGGAGAGGGAUGCGGAAUUCCAGGUGUAGCGGUGAAAUGCGUAGAUAUCUGGAGGAACACCGGUGGCGAAGGUGGCAUCCUGGACCGGCAUUGACGCUGAGGCGCGAAAGCCAGGGGAGCAAACGGG
RNAcentral lists this ribosomal RNA (253 nucleotides) under uncultured bacterium. RNAcentral describes it as "partial 16S ribosomal RNA". It matches the Rfam family "Bacterial small subunit ribosomal RNA", at positions 524 to 776 of the family's 1533-position model. The record is from RNAcentral.